GGUCUGCCUAGCCCCGGGAUCUCCUUUACUUUGGCUGGAGAGGGCGGAACCGGCCCCGGGGCAGGCUGGGAGAUGUAGUUCCUGACUCUCCCUGAACAGGAAGUGACGUUGGCGAGGGAGGUGGAUCCGGACUACCAGCGCGCGCGGGCCGCUCCGGCUCUGCCUGGUUCGCGCGGGGUCGUUGGAGCCUCUCCCGGGACGGAGAAGGGGGCCGGUGACCUUCGAGGAGGUGGCUGUGUAUUUCACCAGGGAAGAGUGGGCUCUGCUAGACCCCCCUCAGAGAGCCCUCUACAGAGAUGUCAUGCAGGAGAACUAUGAGAAUGUGACCUCAUUGGAUUGAGUGGAUGUUUGCAGGGAACUAUCCACAGUGACUCGAAGGUCUCUCUGUU
This is a long non-coding RNA of Gopherus flavomarginatus (Mexican gopher tortoise), 389 nucleotides long. RefSeq lists it as uncharacterized. NCBI's taxonomy places the organism in Eukaryota, Metazoa, Chordata, Testudines, Testudinidae. The transcript is spliced from 3 exons. The record is from RefSeq and is a predicted model, not a curated record.